AAGAAGAAAGAAAACUCU
This 18-nucleotide small RNA is filed under the name Arabidopsis thaliana (thale cress). Its description in RNAcentral is "ATSL266120". Lineage: Eukaryota; Viridiplantae; Streptophyta; Magnoliopsida; Brassicales; Brassicaceae. The record is from RNAcentral.